GGCCCAGGGAGGGCACCUCCUCUGGGCUCCGUUAUGAAGUCUUUUCCCAGGCACCAUGUGGAGGCCCCAGCCUGCAGAACACCAGGUCUGAGAUCAAGCCUGGGCCAUGGGCUGCUCCCUGCUGCUCCAGCCCUGCCUGGCCCUGCCUGGCCCGGCCCAGUCUCCUCUGGGAGCUGCCAUCCCUGAGAUGGGGACACCGCACCCCACCCGGGAGCUGUGAGGAACUGAAGUGGCAGGUACCACCAUGAGGACCUGCCCAUGGUGUCAUAUCUCACUCAAUCCUCACAACCAUGGCAGGGAGGUGUUAUCAUCAUCUCCACUUGACAGAGGAAGAAACUGAGGCUCAGAGAAGGACAAGUGGGACAUACUCAGCCAUGCAGGUUUCGAGGACACCUCAGGAAUUCUUGGACUUGAAACAUCAAGUAAUCCAGCAGAGAUGGUGGCUGUGGGUAAAGAUGCAUCUUUUUUCACGUCAAGUGGGAAAUUACCCUUUCAAUGUUGGAGGAAGUUGGCCAUGGAGGUUGCCUGGUGUCAAGAAAGUGUGGAGCUCUGACCACGUGAUUUGUCCUCUCUUGCUUGACACUGAAUGGAGAAGAGCUGGCAGGUGGACAGAACAAGGAGGGUCACCUGAAUGGGCAUCACAGAGGACUGGACUGUUGGGAAAAACACCUCUUCCAGGAGGCCUUCCUACUACUCCCCCACCUCCUGGCCAAGGAAACUGAGUGCUGACCAGCUGUCUUGGCAUCAGUUGCCAGGCUUGGUACCCAUGAGCAUCCUCAUUAGAAUCUCACCUUCACCUCUGGUGCCCUCUGACCAUGAG
Camelus dromedarius (Arabian camel) is the source of this 820-nucleotide RNA transcript. It is a transcript of the gene named transmembrane protein 270, with no coding region annotated. NCBI's taxonomy places the organism in Eukaryota, Metazoa, Chordata, Mammalia, Artiodactyla, Camelidae. The record is from RefSeq and is a predicted model, not a curated record. The transcript is spliced from 4 exons.